RNAcentral lists this ribosomal RNA (166 nucleotides) under uncultured bacterium. RNAcentral's name for it is "partial 16S rRNA". It matches the Rfam family "Bacterial small subunit ribosomal RNA", at positions 355 to 511 of the family's 1533-position model. The record is from RNAcentral.
UAGGGAAUCGUUCGGCAAUGGGGGCAACCCUGACCGAGCAACGCCGCGUGAGUGAAGAAGGUUUUCGGAUCGUAAAGCUCUGUUGUAAGAGAAGAACGUGUGUGAGAGUGGAAAGUUCACACAGUGACGGUAACUUACCAGAAAGGGACGGCUAACUACGUGCCAG